CGUCCUCAGCGACGGACCGGGC
This 22-nucleotide small nuclear RNA is filed under the name Arabidopsis thaliana (thale cress). Its description in RNAcentral is "snRNA_11628". The record is from RNAcentral. Lineage: Eukaryota; Viridiplantae; Streptophyta; Magnoliopsida; Brassicales; Brassicaceae.